CGCUGGCACAUAGCAGCAUGUUUGUUCGAAUUCGAAUUUUUAACGAAAUUCACAAAGCGAAAGUUUUAUUGAGAUCUGAAUUUCUUUCGGCAGUGAUCGAAAAGUUUAAAGUAUGGAAAGCUCCUUAUUAGCUCACGAACAUUACUUCUGCUGUUAAAAAUGGACUUUUUAACAGUGGAUUUUGUUAAAAUGGUGCCGCGAAAGAUUCCAUGGCUCCAACGAGCGGUUGUAUUUUUUUCAACUGCUGUAUUUAUUUGUGAAUGGCAUGGAAACUCUCUUGCUUUAGCAGUCUAAAUUUACAUAUUAUGUAAAUUGGAUUCGUGUUGUAUUACAAGACGAAUUUUCAACUGGCUGGGACUGAAUAUGGGGGAGUGAUAAGUGCAUUCAAGUCUUGGGAAGAAGACCCGAUGACUUGAACCCGCUUGAACACAACAUUGGCGCGCGUGAUUUUGACCAAAGUCUCUUGGCUCAACCUUGAUUUCUAAAAUGAGAAAGAGUCAUGGGCAUCAAAAGAUUUAGAGCAGUUUCUAAGGAUGAUGAGAACCAUCAACUUCAGGCAUAACGUCGAACAGACAAGAUUUGUCAUCUUCCCGGGAGAGACUCCUAACAUGUCAGUUCUUGUGACAGUCCUAGAGUCCAUGGGCAUUGAAUGGGACAUUGCAUAUUAUCAUUGCAAUCCUGUAGUACUACAAGAGAGCUGUUCCUUGACAAAGUCAACACACCCUCUCAUUUUGACAAAAACAUGUCAACCAAUCAAAGGAGAUGACCUAUUCACGCAGUCUGCAGAUGAGUUCUUUGCAGAAAAAGACACUGGAAUCACCCACCAAAGGCAAUUUAAGCCAGUUAAAUUGUAUGUAAAAUUGCUAAACCUUUUUGUACAGGACAAAACUCUAUAUGUAGUUGAUGCCUGCGGAGGUUCAGGAUCAUAUGUGCCUUAGCUUGCCAAGAACUUGGUGUAAAAUGCCUAGUUCUUGACAGGUCUGCUAUUAAAGUGAGAUUAAUCCAGCAGAGGGAGGGCUAAAUAAAUCAGGUAAACCCAGCAAAUACAGUAUGUACCUGACAGUAGUGAUCUUAAUAUGUUGUUUUUUUUGAAAGUGUGUAUGGUAGAGUUGCUGUUCAUUGCCGUACCAGCUUCUAUGUUAAGCUCAAGAAUGUAUUUUAUUAAUGUAAUUUAUUUAAUUAAUUAAUUAUAUGAUUAAUUGAACAA
RNAcentral lists this unclassified non-coding RNA (1207 nucleotides) under Dendronephthya gigantea. Its description in RNAcentral is "uncharacterized LOC114532976, transcript variant X2". The record is from RNAcentral. Lineage: Eukaryota; Metazoa; Cnidaria; Anthozoa; Malacalcyonacea; Nephtheidae.